GCUUAGAUGAUGAUUUAAUUUUUCACGACGGUCUAAUGAAAUAUAAUGAUUAGACUGCCUGUGACAAGGCAUUAAACUGAAA
Neocallimastix californiae is the source of this 82-nucleotide small nucleolar RNA. It matches the Rfam family "Small nucleolar RNA snR73". Lineage: Eukaryota; Fungi; Neocallimastigomycota; Neocallimastigomycetes; Neocallimastigales; Neocallimastigaceae. The record is from Rfam.